UUUCGCAAUGCCCGAAAGGGUGACGAAGCGACGCCGCGUGGGUGAGGAAGGCCCUCGGGUUGUAAAGCCCUGUCAGGAGUUAAGAAAUGUAGGUACGCUAAUAUCGUAUCUAUUUGACAAAGGCUCCAAAGGAAGCCACGGCUAACUCUGUGCCAGCAGCCGCGGUAAUACAGAGGUGGCAAGCGUUGUUCGGAAUUAUUGGGCGUAAAGAGCACGUAGGUGGAUUUGUAAGUCAGAUGUGAAGGCCUUCUGUUCAACGGGAGAAAUGCAUCUGAAACUACAAACCUUGAGUAUAGGAGGGGAGAAUGGAACCUCUGGUGGAGCGGUGAAAUGCGUAGAUAUCAGAAGGAACGCCGGCGGCGAAAGCGAUUCUCUGGCCUAUUACUGACACUCAGUGUGCGAAAGCUAGGGGAGCAAACGGGAUUAGAUACCCCGGUAGUCCUAGCCGUAAACGAUGGGCACUAAGUAGAGGGGUUUUAA
This 480-nucleotide ribosomal RNA is filed under the name uncultured anaerobic ammonium-oxidizing bacterium. RNAcentral's name for it is "bacterial SSU rRNA". It matches the Rfam family "Bacterial small subunit ribosomal RNA", at positions 364 to 834 of the family's 1533-position model. The record is from RNAcentral.